UCAAGCUACCAAGGGCACACGGUGGACGCCUAGGCAGUCAGAGGCGAAGAAGGACGUGGGCAGCUGCGAAAAGCUCCGGGGAGCCGCUAACAGGCAUUAAUCCGGAGAUCUCCGAAUGGGAAAACCCACUGGCGACGAGCCAGGGACCUGGCAACAGGUGGCCAACGCAGGGAACUGAAACAUCUAAGUACCUGCAGGAAAAGAAAGAAACCUCGAUUCCCCCAGUAGCGGCGAGCGAAGAGGGAAAAGCCCAAACCGAGGAACGAAAGUUCCGAGGGGUUGUAGGGCCCGCAACAUCCGAAGGGAUCGCAGUCGAACGGCAUGGAAAGGCCGGCCAAAGAGGGUGACAGCCCCGUAAGCGAAACGAGAACGUAGGUAGCGGGUACCUGAGUAUCGCAGGACACGUGCAAUCCGGCGAGAAUCUGCGGGGACCAUCCCGUAAGGCUAAAUACUACUGACUGACCGAUAGUGAACGAGUACCGCGAGGGAAAGGUGAAAAGCACCCCGGUGAGGGGAGUGAAAGAGGUCCUGAAACCGUGUGUCUACAAGCAGUUGGAGCACUAUGCCGCAAGGCAGUGCGACAGCGUACCUUUUGCAUAAUGGGCCUGCGAGUUACGCUUCGUGGCGAGGCUAAGCCGAUAGGUGGAGCCGUAGGGAAACCGAGUCCUCACAGGGCGACGAGUCGCGGGGCGUAGACCCGAAACCUUAGCGAUCUAUCCAUGUCCAGGUUGAAGGCGGGGUAAAACCCGCUGGAGGACCGAACCCACCAUAGUUGAAAAUAUGGGGGAUGAGGUGUGGAUAGGAGUGAAAGGCUAAUCAAGCUGGGAGAUAGCUGGUUCUCCCCGAAAUAUAUUGAGGUAUAGCCUCGGACGAAUGCCGCCGGAGGUAGAGCACUGAAUGGGCUAGGGGUCCUACCAGAUUACCAAACCCAAUCAAACUCCGAAUGCCGGUGAGCAGUAUCCGGGAGUCAGACAGCGAGAGAUAAGUCCCGUUGUCGAGAGGGAAAGAGCCCAGAUCGUCAGCUAAGGUCCCAAAGUCCGAACUAAGUGUCAAAGGAUGUGGAGACGCUCAGACAACCAGGAGGUUUGCUUAGAAGCAGCAAUCCUUUAAAGAAAGCGUAAUAGCUCACUGGUCAAGCGGCUCUGCGCCGAAAAUACAACGGGGCUAAGUUCGGCACCGAAGCUACGGGCUCCAUUGGAGCGGUAGGGGAGCAUUGUCAGGGAGAUACGAGCCAGACGGAAACGACUGGGGUUGGCCCUGACAAGAGCUUAUGUAGACAUGAGUAGCGAAAGACGGGUGAGAAACCCGUCCGCCGAAUGACCAAGGGUUCCUGGGCCAGGCUAAUCCGCCCAGGGUAAGUCGGGUCCUAAGAUGAGGGCGACAGCCGUAAUCGAUGGACAACUGGUUGAUAUUCCAGUACCGGUUUUAUAUCGCCCAUGCUGAAUCAGUAACGCUAAGUGUUUGAAGUUGGGUAGAGAUACCUGAUGGAGCGCACGACCCAAGCUGGUAGUAGGCAAGCAAAGGAGUGACGCAAAAAGGUAAUCCAACCCAGGCGAUGGUUGUCCUGGGGUAAAUGUGUAGGAGGUUCAGUAGGUAAAUCCGCUGAACAUAAUCUGAGACAUUACGCCGAGUCGUAAGACGAAGUGGAUGAUCCUAUGUUGCCAAGAAAACCUUCUAGCGAGAUUUAUAGCGGCCCGUACCCGAAACCGACACAGGUGGUCUGGUAGAGAAUACCAAGGCGAUCGAGAGAAUCGUGGUGAAGGAACUCGGCAAAAUACCCUCGUAACUUCGGGAGAAGAGGGGCUGAUUGUUGUGUAGAAGUUUUCCUUCGAAGCAUUAGUUAGACGCAGAGAAUAGGCUCAAGCGACUGUUUACCAAAAACACAGGUCCGUGCGAAGUUGUAAAACGAUGUAUACGGACUGACGCCUGCCCGGUGCUGGAAGGUCAAGGGGAUUGGUUAGCUCUUCGGAGCGAAGCUGAGAACUUAAGCCCCAGUAAACGGCGGUGGUAACUAUAACCAUCCUAAGGUAGCGAAAUUCCUUGUCGGGUAAGUUCCGACCUGCACGAAUGGCGUAACGACU
This 2081-nucleotide ribosomal RNA is filed under the name freshwater metagenome. RNAcentral's name for it is "bacterial LSU rRNA". It matches the Rfam family "Bacterial large subunit ribosomal RNA", at positions 3 to 2009 of the family's 2925-position model. The record is from RNAcentral.